AGGUCCCGGCGCCCAGAGUCGCCGCGCGGCCGCCGGUGAGCCGCAUGGAGCCCCGGGCGGCGGACGGCUGCUUCCUGGGCGACGUGGGUUUCUGGGUAGAGCGGACCCCUGUGCACGAGGCAGCCCAGCGGGGUGAGAGCCUGCAGCUGCAACAGCUGAUCGAGAGUGGCGCCUGCGUGAACCAGGUCACCGUGGACUCCAUCACGCCCCUGCACGCGGCCAGUCUGCAGGGCCAGGCGCGGUGCGUGCAGCUGCUGCUGGCGGCUGGGGCCCAGGGAGUUCCGAAUGUGUGAGGCUUCUUAUUGACGUCGGGGCCAAUCUGGAAGCACACGAUUGCCAUUUUGGGACCCCUCUGCACGUUGCCUGUGCCCGGGAGCACCUGGACUGUGUCAAAGUGCUGCUCAAUGCAGGGGCCAACGUGAAUGCGGCAAAGCUUCAUGAGACGGCCCUUCACCACGCGGCCAAGGUCAAGAAUGUUGACCUCAUCGAGAUGCUUAUCGAGUUUGGCGGCAACAUCUACGCCCGGGACAACCGCGGGAAGAAGCCGUCUGACUACACGUGGAGCAGCAGUGCUCCCGCCAAGUGCUUCGAGUACUACGAAAAGACACCUCUGACUCUGUCACAGCUCUGCAGGGUGAGCUUGAGGAAGGCCACUGGCGUCCGUGGGCUGGAGAAGAUCGCCAAGUUAAACAUCCCGCCCCGGCUCAUUGAUUACCUCUCCUACAACUGAGUUGCAGGCGGGGUCCGGACCGUGCCUGCCCCCGUUGUGCCCAGCAUUGCCCAGGUAAGGGCUCUGCCUGUUCCUCUGAAGCAGCGUGAUUGCUGUAGAUAGAACAAUGCUCCUUCCAGUCCCUUCCUGCGAUCCUGUUUAGGCUUCUCUCCUGGAUCCUGGAUAAUGUUUCCAGGGUGCAGGGUGUUGGGAAGGCCUGCGCCUCAGGUCACAAUUGUGGGUGUGGCCCUGCGCUGUUCUACGGAACCUACCCUCUCAAUGGGCGUGGGCCCAACCGUCCAGUUUUCCUCUUUAAUGGACCGUCCUCAAAGGCACUCUCAGCACAGAUGGCGUGGGGAGCAUAGAGGAGGCUGGCAGAGCUGGGGACUCAGGGCAUUGUUGCUGAUUCCCACUCGCCUGGGCAGCCUGCUGCAGAUGCACAGGCCCCAGAUGCAGGCCACCACCUCCGGGUUGGCACCAGGACUGCCCUCGGUGCUCAUAGGGAAUGGCUGGGCCCACAGAAGGUCGGCCUGGGAUGUAGCCUAGGACUGGUGCUCUGCUGGCUGCUGUGUGGAUGCUUUUCCUGGAGCACUUUCCAAGGCAUCCCCCAGCCCCGAGCCUGCGCACAUCUGCCACUCGGGCUUUCUGUGGGUCUUUGUGGGGGAAGGCCCUGGCUCUGUAUUCCUCACAAGUAGCACUGAGUUUCUUAGGAAAUUCGUCUUCAGUAUUAGGUCUUGAACUCUUAUAAAAAGUUUAUAUGUAGGAUAAAAACCUCUUAGAGGACAUGUAGGCGGUACCACUAAGGUUUUGCUAAUGAGCCAUUCAAACCGACAGCAGUGUGAAGGUGUGUCAAGGUGUAUAUUCUCGAGGCUCGGCAUUUUUAGUGCAAAGGGCUGUUUGGAGACUCUGUGGGAAUUGUUUUUCAUCCGUUUCUAUGGUUGUCAAAUGAAUUCUUCACCCACCCUACAGUUUGCUAACUCCUUGAAGCUAUCAAAUUAGUAAGAGAGGCUGCCCGCACCCAGGGGGCACCAUCACCCACUUGUUAUUUGGUUUUGCGGAUACUCAUGGAACAUCUAUCACAUACAACAUUGUCCCAGUGCUUUGAGUUGGAUGGGAAUGGGACUCUGUAGCCAAGGCAGGAUAAGAAAAUCUUGCAAUCCCGUCCUGCAGUAAUAGAAACAGGUCGUUCUGCAUUAUAAGCCAUAGGUGGAGCAUUCAGUAGCCUAUUCAGACUGCAUGGGCUGGCCUACGAGUCUUUGUCUUCAUAAAUUUUAAGAACCCCUCCCACAACAGGGAGUUAAACUGGAGGACCUUUGCAUGAUUAAUUCAGGGAUGAGUGGUUUCUGGGGCAAUGGAGAAUGGGUCAGGCCUGUCCUGGAGACAGUGUGCCCAGAAAAGGGAACGUGGUACUCACCGGAUGCACCCAGCCCGGCCUGAACCUCCCACCACAGACAGUGUGGAACAGAGUGAGCCUGAGCUGCCCAAGGUGAUGCCCUUUGUGCCGUAUGACUGGAGGCCUCUCCACGUGGGUACUUGGGGAUGGGGCCACAAAUCUGGCAAAAAACUUCAUGCUGGCCGCCGUGGGGUUUCUCUUCUCCAGUGUUCCAGCUGUCGUCAUGGCGGGUCUUCGUCUUAAACUGAGAAGAAAAGCAUUCCUGUUUGAUCACCGCCUUAGUUACCAGUUCUGGAUCAGUCAGUGUUUCUGCAUGGAAUAACAACCAUUAAAAAAAGCAUUGGAUUCUGCCCUUUCAUCUUUGUAAGAGAUUCUUGCCUCUAGCAAUGACAUCCUGUGAUGUCUCACAGUAGAGCACUUAGCGCAGAAUCAGGUCCCCACGGCUGUUGCUCAUUAAAAGUGGUGGAAUAAAGUGC
RNAcentral lists this small RNA (2578 nucleotides) under Pongo abelii (Sumatran orangutan). Its description in RNAcentral is "processed transcript". The record is from RNAcentral. Lineage: Eukaryota; Metazoa; Chordata; Mammalia; Primates; Hominidae.